ACUCCUACGGGAGGCAGCAGUAGGGAAUCAUCCGCAAUGGACGAAAGUCUGACGGUGCAACGCCGCGUGAGUGAUGAAGGUUUUCGGAUCGUAAAACUCUGUUGUUAGGGAAGAACAAGUACCGUUUGAAUAAGGCGGUACCUUGACGGUACCUAACCAGAAAGCCCCGGCUAACUACGUGCCAGCAGCCGCGGUAAUACGUAGGGGGCAAGCGUUGUCCGGAAUUAUUGGGCGUAAAGCGCUCGCAGGCGGUCUUUUAAGUCUGAUGUGAAAGCCCACGGCUCAACCGUGGAGGGUCAUUGGAAACUGGAGGACUUGAGUGCAGAAGAGGAGAGUGGAAUUCCACGUGUAGCGGUGAAAUGCGUAGAGAUGUGGAGGAACACCAGUGGCGAAGGCGACUCUCUGGUCUGUAACUGACGCUGAGGAGCGAAAGCGUGGGGAGCGAACAGGAUUAGAUACCCUGGUAGUCCACGCCGUAAACGAUGAGUGCUAGGUGUUAGGGGGUUUCCGCCCCUUAGUGCUGAAGUUAACGCAUUAAGCACUCCGCCUGGGGAGUACGGCCGCAAGGCUGAAACUCAAAAGGAAUUGACGG
This 592-nucleotide ribosomal RNA is filed under the name uncultured bacterium. Its description in RNAcentral is "bacterial SSU rRNA". It matches the Rfam family "Bacterial small subunit ribosomal RNA", at positions 335 to 916 of the family's 1533-position model. The record is from RNAcentral.